RNAcentral lists this ribosomal RNA (524 nucleotides) under uncultured archaeon. Its description in RNAcentral is "bacterial SSU rRNA". It matches the Rfam family "Archaeal small subunit ribosomal RNA", at positions 325 to 851 of the family's 1478-position model. The record is from RNAcentral.
ACGGGGUGCAGCAGGCGCGAAACCUCUGCAAUAGGCGAAAGCUUGACAGGGUUACUCUGAGUGAUUUCCGUUAAGGAGAUCUUUUGGCACCUCUAAAAAUGGUGCAGAAUAAGGGGUGGGCAAGUCUGGUGUCAGCCGCCGCGGUAAUACCAGCACCCCGAGUGGUCGGGACGUUUAUUGGGCCUAAAGCAUCCGUAGCCGGUUCUACAAGUCUUCCGUUAAAUCCACCUGCUUAACAGAUGGGCUGCGGAAGAUACUAUAGAGCUAGGAGGCGGGAGAGGCAAGCGGUACUCGAUGGGUAGGGGUAAAAUCCGUUGAUCCAUUGAAGACCACCAGUGGCGAAGGCGGCUUGCCAGAACGCGCUCGACGGUGAGGGAUGAAAGCUGGGGGAGCAAACCGGAUUAGAUACCCGGGUAGUCCCAGCUGUAAACGAUGCAGACUCGGUGAUGAGUUGGCUUAUUGCUAACUCAGUGCCGCAGGGAAGCCGUUAAGUUUGCCGCCUGGGGAGUACGGUCGCAAGACUG